UACGAAGGGUGCAAGCGUUACUCGGAAUUACUGGGCGUAAAGCGUGCGCAGGCGGUUCGUUAUGUCCGUUGUGAAAGCCCCGGGCUCAACCUGGGAAUGGCAAUGGAAACUGGCGGGCUAGAGUGUGGCAGAGGGGGGUGGAAUUCCGCGUGUAGCAGUGAAAUGCGUAGAGAUGCGGAGGAACACCGAUGGCGAAGGCAGCCCCCUGGGCUGACACUGACGCUCAGGCACGAAAGCGUGGGGAGCAAACAGG
This 253-nucleotide ribosomal RNA is filed under the name uncultured bacterium. Its description in RNAcentral is "partial 16S ribosomal RNA". It matches the Rfam family "Bacterial small subunit ribosomal RNA", at positions 524 to 776 of the family's 1533-position model. The record is from RNAcentral.